This 253-nucleotide ribosomal RNA is filed under the name uncultured bacterium. Its description in RNAcentral is "partial 16S ribosomal RNA". It matches the Rfam family "Bacterial small subunit ribosomal RNA", at positions 524 to 776 of the family's 1533-position model. The record is from RNAcentral.
UACGUAGGGUGCAAGCGUUGUCCGGAAUUAUUGGGCGUAAAGAGCUCGUAGGCGGCUCGUUGCGUCGGCUGUGAAAACCCGCAGCUCAACUGUGGGCUUGCAGCUGAUACGGGCGGGCUGGGAUUCGGUAGGGGAGACUGGAAUUCCUGGUGUAGCGGUGAAAUGCGCAGAUAUCUGGAGGAACACCGGUGGCGAAGGCGGGUCUCUGGGCCUGUACUGACGCUGAGGAGCGAAAGCGUGGGGAGCGAACAGG